Molecule: long non-coding RNA, 3591 nt
Organism: Esox lucius (northern pike)
Lineage: Eukaryota; Metazoa; Chordata; Actinopteri; Esociformes; Esocidae
Source: Ensembl
AAUUUAAAUACUUCUCAAGAUUAAUUUUAUUAACAUAGUACAAUGUAAAUGUUUUCAAAAGCUGCAUUCUGUAAUCAAAACAAGGACACACAAAACCCAGAAAACAGAGCACCUAGUUAACCACAGACCACAGACACAGAGAUUGGAACCAUUAUUAUUCAGAUAAAAAAAAUUUGACCUAGAAGGGAUACAAAUCAAGAUCACAUACCUUCUGUUGAAUUUGUCAGUUUAUGCAAUCUAAAAUAAAAUAUGCUGUUGAGACACAAAAUGUUUCUCCUCUUCUUUGAAUCACAUAACUGUCCAACAAGUUAUGACAACAUUAUUAACUAAUGAUACAUUGAAAAUUAGCUGAGCAGUGUAUAGUAACCUCUUGUACAUUUGACCAUAUCUGUGAGAUCAUAAGAAAAUGUCACAUGAACCCAAUGUUUACCUCUGCAGUGGUCAUCUUGGAGAGUCCAGUAUAUCAGCGUUACAAGUUGGUCAGACUUGCCAUGGAUAGCCGUGUCUCACUGCCUUCAACAGAGGAAAUGUAAUUAAAUGGAGUAUCCUGUGCCACCAAUAACAGUAAUUAAUCAUUCACAUUUACUCACAUUAUAUCCUGGACCUUGUACAGUCUGAAGAACAGAAUGAAUUUAGCUAGUCCCAUAGGAGCUGAGAUCUAUAAGAAACUAAUUUUUUCCAAAAGCCACAUCAUUAAUAUUUGGCAGCUUAAAAUGCAGGUUGGCAGGGGGGCAGUUACAGAGGGGUUUCCAUUAGGGGGCUGAAAUGAAGACUGGGACAUUUCAGGCCCUGUCCCGUUCCACCUUCCAGCCUCUGCACUGGCUGCUAACCCUCAGGUGAAGUACAGCAGGUGUUAAAACACACUCAGCCAUAGAGCUACUCAUUGCUAAUGAGUCCUGUCUCCUUAAACUCUCUCUGAUGCUUCCAUGCAUAUAGGGCUUUAUUUUCUGCGUCCUAGUUAGAUCACUGCCAUGAUUGCAAAUGCAGAUGAAAAAAUCCUUUAAGACUGACCACUAUAAUGAAACUUCACCUGGAGGAGCGCUGAAUGAAAAGACUAAGGCAUGUCCUUAAUUGCUUCUUCAAGUAGUGUUUUAACAUACUGUGAUAUGUAUUACUUUGUAUACCAGUUAGUUUGAAUCUAGCAAAAUUGAGCAAAAUAUAUAUAUUUUGUGUGGUUGUUCUUAAUCAAAAUAUUGGUUUAAAAUAAGUAAUUCGUUGGACACAUUAAAGUAAAUUGAAUAUUUGCCCUGUCUGAGAAUUGUGGGCAUAUUCAAAGAAAAUCUUAUUGUAAACAUAGUGAAUACAGUGACAUUUGAGAAGAGCAUUUUACUAGUAAAGGCUGGUUAUGUUUGCAAUUUUCUUCAGAGAAACUGUGAUUCCACCUCUUUAUAAUGCCUUUCUAGUAAUUAAACACGUUUUCUAUGUUAAGGGUCUGAAAUGUAGGCUAUAGGCCUUUUGCAGAACACGCAUGUUCAUCUUCAGUUUGCAGAUACUAUCGCCGGGAAAUAAUGACAGUUAUCAGUCGCACCCACCAAGUGCCCAUAAAAAUCGGUCCUCUGUUCUGGAAGAUGAUAAUUAUUGGUUGUACUACUAUUAUCAUUUUCGCUGGUGAUAGAGGAACCCUUGAAGUAUUUUUCGAAUGUAAUUCCAGAUAUAAAUUACUUGAAAUUGGGCAAUUUUAAAAGAGAGAAGUGCAGUUUUCCUUAUGAGCGUAAUAUAUUAUAGAAUUCUUCAAAACCAAGAUAUCCACUGUCAGAUGCACAUCGCAGACUUUAUUGCUAACUAUGAUGUCAGCUUUCGCAUUUUAAAAACACAUUCGUGGAGAUUUUGAGCUGCCGGGGAACAGUGGUAUUUCUGCUUUCCGUUCAUCCACAGCAGACGGACUCAAUAACAUUGAAAAGUAAAAUGAAGAUCUGUAUAUUUGCUGCUUCUUCGUCACCAGCAAUAAGUGGUGCACAAUGGAAUUUUUCUGAUCUCCGAUAUUGGAGAUGUAUUUUCUUUUUUUCCAUCACCUGAUUUUCGAUAUUAAGUAAGUGCAUAUAAUGCCUAAUCGUGUUAACAAUUAAUCUAAAUGUUGAUUGAAAUGUGUAGAUCACGUAUUUUAGGUUACAGUCAAGUGAUCAACCUGCAUGUCGUGUGAUAUGGACCAGCUGUUUUUUUAAUGUUUUUUUUUCUUCGAAAACUGAACCUAUAAUAAAGGGAAACAGCUAUACUCUUUAGUCAGUAGUCAGUUCAGUUCAAUUAAACGUUCUCGGAAAAUCAUUGUUCAAUGUCUAUAGGCUACUGUCUUAAUAGGAAACUGACCGCACCCCCCUAAACCUCGCAUGGAAUUAUAUGAAUUGAUGGAGGCUAUGUUUAAUAUCAGAUUGUAUGACGAUUUAACUGGCCUUCGUUGUUGUGUUAUAGAGCACAUCAACAUGUUUUGUCGAUUUACUCAUUAACUUGAAAUGAAUGACUAAACAAUAUCUAGGCCGAUGUAUUUAUCAACGGCUCUAGUAUGAUGGCGUUUUCUGGAACAAGCUGUACAGAUGAGGUGAUAUAUAUAUGCCCGGAUGACUUUGGCUACACUAUAGAUCUGCAUGGUCGCUCGGUCCAUACAGCUACAUUAUUAUAUCAGCUAUUCACUUUUCAUUAAUCACAACUAAGGGAUUGCAUGAAUUGUGAAAGCUAGGCAUUAAGGUCAGCCAAAAGACCGCACAAUCUGAAAAAAGCGAACAUAUUGAAGUUCUACUUCUUUUGAAAAGAAAAAAAGAUUAAGUAGUAGGCCAAAAUGAGAAAUGUUUGUCUUUUCAUCGAUGUAUAUAUACAGGUGAAAUCUGUAUAUAGGUAUAUAUAUUUCUGUAUAUGUAUAUACAUGUGUAAGUAGUCUUACCCGUGUAAUAACAAAAUUGCAAAUCCCCUAAUGUUUUGUUUAAUACUAUGCUUCAUAAUGUAUAUACAUAGAGUAUUGUUUUGUAAAGUACUGAAGCAGCAGCAUCAUGGUUACAAUGAUAUAUCCCUUACCGAGAACAGUCAACAGAAUUGUAUAAAUAAGGCCAAACGGUUUGUUAUAUUAUAAGCAACUUCGAUGAAUUUAGUUUUUGGGCAUGGAAUCACUGCUCAUGUGGCGAAUAGAGAAAUAAAAAGCUAUUUCGAUAUAUGUUGCAGAGACAGACCAAGAGGUUGAACAAAUAUCCAGUUGGAAAACAUUUUUUAUUUCUACAACAUUAUAUUUACGCUUGUAACAUAAGCCAGUUAAUGCUUAAUCGUAUAAAUUCAACCAGGUAUACUUUGCUCCGAUAAUUGAGAUCACGAGCCAUUGCAAGUGUUAAAUAUAUGGCUAAUUAUGCGUAUGAAAAUUAAACAUCAGUGUUAUGCUAAUUCAGCUUGCUUCAGCUGCGGCUCAGCGCACUUGAGACGGGCAUUUAAUCAAAUAGACCUGUGAGUUAUACGUCUACGCAUGUGAACACCAAAAGACACUAUAAAUAAAGAGCAACGAUAAUCUAUCAGUUUGUUUUGAGAAAUUGAAAAAUAAAAUAAAAAUAAAUUCUGUUAGGCUAUAGCCUAUACAUUUAUGUCUCAACAGUUAUCAGAUAAUUUUUUUCUUGUAAU